This 448-nucleotide ribosomal RNA is filed under the name uncultured bacterium. Its description in RNAcentral is "bacterial SSU rRNA". It matches the Rfam family "Bacterial small subunit ribosomal RNA", at positions 330 to 792 of the family's 1533-position model. The record is from RNAcentral.
CCCAGACUCCUACGGGAGGCAGCAGUGGGGAAUAUUGGGCAAUGGGCGCAAGCCUGACCCAGCAACGCCGCGUGAAGGAAGAAGGCUUUCGGGUUGUAAACUUCUUUUCUCAGGGACGAAGCAAGUGACGGUACCUGAGGAAUAAGCCACGGCUAACUACGUGCCAGCAGCCGCGGUAAUACGUAGGUGGCAAGCGUUAUCCGGAUUUACUGGGUGUAAAGGGCGUGUAGGCGGGACUGCAAGUCAGAUGUGAAAACCACGGGCUCAACCUGUGGCCUGCAUUUGAAACUGUAGUUCUUGAGUACUGGAGAGGCAGACGGAAUUCCUAGUGUAGCGGUGAAAUGCGUAGAUAUUAGGAGGAACACCAGUGGCGAAGGCGGUCUACUGGACAGCAACUGACGCUGAGGCGCGAAGGCGUGGGGAGCAAACAGGAUUAGAUACCCGUGUA